AUAAUACUCCCUCCAUCCCAAAAUUCUUGUCUUAGAUUCGUCUAGAUACGGAUGUAUCUAAUACUAAAACGUGAUUUGAUAUAUCCGUAUUUAGACAAAUUUUAAAUAAGAAUUUUGAGACGGAGGGAGUAUGAU
Molecule: non-coding RNA, 135 nt
Organism: Triticum aestivum (bread wheat)
Lineage: Eukaryota; Viridiplantae; Streptophyta; Magnoliopsida; Poales; Poaceae
Source: Rfam